AGAGUUUGAUCCUGGCUCAGGAUGAACGCUAGCGGCAGGCUUAACACAUGCAAGUCGAGGGGCAGCGGGGAGGAAGCUUGCUUUCUCCGCCGGCGACCGGCGCACGGGUGAGUAACACGUAUGCAACCUGCCCCUGUCAGGGGGACAACCCGCCGAAAGGCGGGCUAAACCCGCGUACAUGCCACCGGGGCAUCCCGGAGGCAGGAAAGGCUUCGGCCGGACAGGGAUGGGCAUGCGGCGCAUUAGGCAGUAGGCGGGGUAACGGCCCACCUAACCGACGAUGCGUAGGGGUUCUGAGAGGAAGGUCCCCCACACUGGUACUGAGACACGGACCAGACUCCUACGGGAGGCAGCAGUGAGGAAUAUUGGUCAAUGGUCGGGAGACUGAACCAGCCAAGCCGCGUGAGGGAUGAAGGUACAGAGUAUCGUAAACCUCUUUUGUCAGGGAACAAAGGCGGGGACGCGUCCCCGGAUGAGUGUACCUGAAGAAAAAGCAUCGGCUAACUCCGUGCCAGCAGCCGCGGUAAUACGGAGGAUGCGAGCGUUAUCCGGAUUUAUUGGGUUUAAAGGGUGCGCAGGCGGUCUGUUAAGUCAGCGGUCAAAGCCCGGGGCUCAACCCCGGCCCGCCGUUGAAACUGGCAGUCUCGAGUUGGAGAGAAGUAUGCGGAAUGCGCGGUGUAGCGGUGAAAUGCAUAGAUAUCGCGCAGAACUCCGAUUGCGAAGGCAGCAUGCCGGCUCCACACUGACGCUGAGGCACGAAAGCGUGGGUAUCGAACAGGAUUAGAUACCCUGGUAGUCCACGCAGUAAACGAUGAAUGUUGGCUGUCCGGGGGGACUGACCCCUGGGUGGCGAAGCGAAAGCGAUAAGCAUUCCACCUGGGGAGUACGCCGGCAACGGUGAAACUCAAAGGAAUUGACGGGGGCCCGCACAAGCGGAGGAACAUGUGGUUUAAUUCGAUGAUACGCGAGGAACCUUACCCGGGCUCAAACGGGGAGUGACUCAGGCAGAGACGCCUGUUUCCCACGGGACACUCCCCGAGGUGCUGCAUGGUUGUCGUCAGCUCGUGCCGUGAGGUGUCGGCUUAAGUGCCAUAACGAGCGCAACCCCCGCGUGCAGUUGCUAACAGAUAACGCUGAGGACUCUGCACGGACUGCCGGCGCAAGCCGCGAGGAAGGCGGGGAUGACGUCAAAUCAGCACGGCCCUUACGUCCGGGGCGACACACGUGUUACAAUGGGUGGUACAGCGGGAAGCCAGGCGGCAACGCCGAGCGGAACCCGAAAUCCACUCUCAGUUCGGAUCGGAGUCUGCAACCCGACUCCGUGAAGCUGGAUUCGCUAGUAAUCGCGCAUCAGCCAUGGCGCGGUGAAUACGUUCCCGGGCCUUGCACACACCGCCCGUCA
RNAcentral lists this ribosomal RNA (1402 nucleotides) under uncultured bacterium. RNAcentral's name for it is "16S ribosomal RNA". It matches the Rfam family "Bacterial small subunit ribosomal RNA". The record is from RNAcentral.